Cyprinus carpio (common carp) is the source of this 1368-nucleotide long non-coding RNA. The record is from Ensembl. Lineage: Eukaryota; Metazoa; Chordata; Actinopteri; Cypriniformes; Cyprinidae.
AAAGCUAACACUGAUCUCUAACAUGGUUACUUCAAAUGAAACAAUAAAUCAACAUCUAAACCUUAGUUAAUUCUCAAUAAGAUCUUCUGUAGAUGUCUGACAUAAAUAAAGUCAUUCUGGUUAUUAAUAAGUGGAGCUGGAGAUGCUGUUUGUGGAGUUGUUUAAUCAGAUCUUGAGAGAUUUAAUGACGUCUUGUAUUUCAGUUGAUUUCAUCUUUGUCUGUGUCUGAAGUUAGUUGUAGUUCUUGUGUUUCUCUUUUCUUCAGGAUUCUGUUUGUUAACAGCAGCUGUUCAUCACUAAUGCUCAAUCAGCACUUAAUUAAUCACUUGUUAAUUGCAACGGUUUAAAACUUACAUGGUUUAUGUCAAGGCAAUCUGAUUCUGUUUACUCAAACGUUUGAGUUACAUGACUUGUCAGGUUUUACAGUGUAAUCACAGACAGAGCAUUAUAGGUGUAAACAAAUUGAAAGCUCACAAUAGAAAGGCAACGACAGAUCAGCUGUUCAUCUAGACAAGCAGCACUACCUGUUCUUCACACAUAUAACAGAACCUGUUUCUCCAUAAACCUUUAAUUACUGCAAACCACAGAAUGUUUUUUGUUUAUGUGAAUUUUAACACACCUUUCCACACCUUACAGUUUGAACCUGCUCAGCUGAGUAUUUCACAGAGGUGUUGCUGUGUUUUAUGUUUUUCAGGAAACCUUGUCACAUUUACUAACAUGACACAUCUGAAAAAUCAGACAAAAGCAUGACAUGCACUAGGAAAAACUUAUUACAGAGACUAAUGUUAGAGAAGGUGACCUCCUUUGCAUAAAAGUGUAUUGAGAGAUUGUUUGACCUUUUUUUUGGUCAAAAAGUAAAAUCUGAAAUAGACGAACGUGCAAACCAAAAAGGAUGUAGUUCCAUAAUGAUGAUCAAAUAAUGAAAUAAUUUUUAUUUUCCUAAGACACUGCAGUUACAGCUACAUUAAAUUCCUAAGUAUGCACUCAAUCAGCAAUCAUAUAAUAAUGCAACACAGGUUAAGUGUAGCUUAAGUACAUUCCCAAUAAUGAAAAUACAAAUAUAGUCAACUACUGUACUUCUGGGGUAUUAUAGCUGAAGUUUAUUGCAAGACACAUUAAUGUCAGUGCAGCACAAAUUUAGAUCAGCUCUGAUAACAGAACCACAGUUGCAGUUACUGGAACUCUUCAAACUAAAGGACAGAUAUAUUUGAAUUGAUGCUCAUCUGUCCUGAUGUGUGGUGCUAUAUCUACAUCUCUUCUCUGUGUCUCUCUUAUUUCUCUCACUUUCAGUUCUGAACACAAAGUAGUUUUGGUAAGAAAUCAGAACCAGUCCUACAUUUACCUUAGAAAAUUGAGGGCAUUUUUUCA